AAGGCUCCACUGACAACCCUGCUACUGCAUUGCACUCAAAUGCUGCUCUUGUUUUAGAAUGAGAGAGGUUAAUUCUGAAGUUACAGGUGCCGGGCUCUUGAUCCCUGUGGUUUUCUAGCAGGGCUGCAUGUUCUUCUUUUAUUGAUUCCACUGAAUGAAAGUAUUCCGAGGAGGAAGCACCCAUCCCUGGUGCUCUGUGAGAACUUACUGUGUGAAUGGCAUCGUCCAGCAGAUCCUGUGUGACUCGCAUAACAUCAGAGGGCAAGGAUAUGUCUCUAAGACUGCAGGUUUCUGUCUUUAGAUGCAUUGGCUUCAGCAAAAGAGUGAGCACAGCUAGCAAGACUGGGUGCCGGGGACUAAAAUAGAUGGGAGAGCUGAGUCUCUCCCCCUCAUUUCACAGUCAGAGACACUGAGACCCACAGAGAGGGAGCGAGUUUCCCAUUUCCUUGCACUUUGCUGGCCUCUUCAUUCGUAGAAGACAAGAGCUGAUGGUAGCAGGAACCGUUGUCCCCUUGCGUGGUCCCGACUCUGAUGGAGGGUCAGGAAGACGUUGAAAAUAGGUUUCUCCCCUCGGCCUUAAACGUAAUGUUACAUAAAUCCCCAUUGGGUGCAGCAUUUUCAUAAGUUCAUAUAGAAAUCAGAUGCUAUUGGAAGAACAGGGAAGAAAAUCAUUUGCCGUUUGAACAGGAAUACUUUGGAGAAAAGAGCGAAUAGAAGCUUAUACUUCAUGUGGACAAGAGAAAGCGCGGAGGUGAUUUUCACAUGUAACAUUAAUACCAAGACCGUUAGAAACGGGGUCCUCCCUAGCAGUGUUCUGAUCUUCAUUGAAAAGAGAGAAAUAGGCUUGUAAUAGAGCAGGACGUUUUCUGUUGAGCUAUUUUAUUUUUAAAGUGGUAAUCAGAAGGACUCAGCAUAGACUUACUAGCUUCAUGCCACACUCAGCUAAUUCCAUUUUUAUAGUUACCAGAUGAGUGGAAUACUAGACAGAGAACAUUUUGAUUUCCAUAAAAUAUUUAACGGGAUGUCUUAUAACAUUCUGAAUAAAACUAUGGAAAACGCUGAGGGAGCAGCAGUUCAUUUCAGAUUCAACAAAGAGAUGUCUUUAGUGGCAGAUCAUUGAAGUCUGUGCUUGAUUCUGUCCUAGUCAUCAGCCAGGAGUUCCCAUUGUGCCACAGCAGAUUGAGGACCCAGUGUUGUCUCUGUGAGGAUGCAGGUUCGAUCCCUGGCCUCGCUCAGUGGGUUAAAGAUCCUGAGUUGCCACAAGCUACAACGUAGAUCGCAGAUGUGGCUCAGAUCUGGCAUUGCUGUGGCUGUGGUGUAGGCCAGUAGCUAUAGCUCCGACCUGACCCCUGACCUGGGAACUUCCAUAUGCCACAGGUGCAGCCCCAAAAGAAAAAAAAGCAUAGGACUGUCGUAGCUCAGUGCACAUUUGAGGGUUCGUGGUAUUCUCUAGAAAGAAAUUUUAUGCAAUUAGUGAUUCAUAGUGCUAAACCGAAAGAUUAUCCAAAGGGUCGGUAUAUGUAAAUUUAGAAAAAUCAGCACAUCCUCAGAGGUGUAGAAAACCCACCAUCCUCUGAGUUCUGGCAUGUGUUACUUUAUUCACUGAUGAGUCCUAAAGUUAUAGUAAGACAGGAUAAUUUGGAUCGACAGGAAGGAAAUGGGGGCUCUAAUGAUUAAACUCACCAAUACUUCUUCCCUAGUGCUAGAGAGCCAUAACUCCACACUUAGCUGUGUCUCUUUAUGAAAAGUAAAUGAAAAGUACUGCUGUUUCAGGCCAUGUGGGAGUGGAGUUAAAAGUUGACAGCCUAGAACCCGAAUGACGAGGUUCAGUGUGAGUGCAGCUCGCACUCACUGGAGUGGUGGGGAGGGCACUGUAUGGUUGGACCCAUUCGCCGUGCAGCUCGCACUCGCCGGAGUGGUGGGGAGGCACCGUAUGGUUGGACCCGUUCGCCGUGGUGCCAUCAGCACCAUGACGUCACCACUAGGCAGGGAAAUUCCCAGCUGCCUUAGCGCUGCCUGUGUUUUCUGAAAGCAGAAGGAACCCACUGGGGGAGACUCGGUCCUGUAGAGCCAUUCCGUGUGCCCUUCAAACCCAGUCGUGUCAACUCUAGAGAGGAAACCCAGAAUCGGUUUGAUGUUUCCCGUGGAGGGAACAUGAGGUAUCUUUUCUCUCUCUGCUGAGAGGUCCUUCCUAUUGGGAGUCCUGCUCCCUCUAAUCAGAACCGGCCUGGCCGCCUCAAUUACCCAAAGCCCAGCCAGGAGAUAACCUGGAAUCAGCGCAGGCAGGUUGGACUGGACUUGCACCACCGUCUGCUUCAGCCCCCAAGUCAGCCGUCCCCAGGCCCUGGUCACUGCCCCCUGCCCCAAGGGUGGUUGCUGGAGCGUAGAGCAGUGGACCUUCACCCCAGAGAAGCAACUCUUGCUUCGAGCCUCAGCAGUUCUGCACGUUGAGGGGCGUUUCUGCCAGGAGCUGAGGGCAGGUCCUGGGGGAGGAUGGCCGGGGCCGCAGUCCCACCCUCUCCGCUCCUGGAGGUGAUGGCAUCCUCCUGAAAAGAUGGCUCAGGGAAGGGACCACCCCCCCGCCCGGUCCCUCCCCUUUGCCUGGAGGCCAGAUGAUCUGUUCCAUCACUUGGGAGGAACCCCCAAACUCCAGAGGCCCUAGGAAAGGAAGUGUGAGUGCGGCAGUGUCCUGGACCAAGAACCAGAAGAAGGCAGCAGUGCUCCAGCCCCUCCCUGACCCACAUUUGCAAACCACGACAUUUAGAAGGUUAAGCAAUGAGGUCCUGCUGCACAAUGCGGGGAACCCCAUCCUUUCUCUCGGGUAGAACAUGAUGGAAGACAGGAUGAGAAAAGGAAUGAAUAUAUACCUAUUUCUGGGUCACUUUGCUGCACAGCAGAAAGGGACACAACUGUAAAUCAACUAAGAAUAAAAAUUUUUCAACAAGAGGUUGCAGAGAUAAGAAGUGUGGCCUCACUGUCGGGAGCAACUGAGGCAAACGUGUCUUUUGAGAGCCCCGGAGAAACGCGAGAUGACGAGAAGGUUUUAAUCAUUGUGUCUCAGCUGCAGAGAACCCAGUAGGAGCUGGAAGGGUUCCUGACAAAGGGGUCGCCGGAACUCACCCACUCAGAUGUAAUUAAAGGCAGUGACCGCUACAGGCUAGAACUUGGCGUAAGCAGAUCAGAGCGGUCCGUGUGCCUUCAGAGCAGCCCUCAGAAAGGGAGAGAAACAUUACAGCCCUCAGGUUGGCAUCUGCUCCACCACCAUCAGCUGUGCAACCUUGAAUGCAUGUCCUCACCUCUCUGAGCCUCUUUCUCUACCUGUAAAAUACAGCUAUGUCAUGAAACCGUGGCAUGAAAGUAGAGGAAAUGUGAAAAACACUGAGUAAAUGUCACUUUGUUAGGUCCCCUCCUCACUGAUUUCCCUGAGAGGUAAACUGGGAUGUGUGUAACAAAAUAGCGUAUUGCUCCCAAUUCUUUUUAGAAGAUGAAAUCAACGCCGGAUCCUUAACCCACUGAGCGAGGCCAGGGAUCGAACCUGCAACCUAAUGGUUCCUAGUCGGAUUCGUUAAUCACUGAGCCACAACAGGAACUCCUGAAUUUCAAAUUUUUUUAAACCUCAGAAAGUUAUCUUUGCCCAGAAGACAGUUCUGGUUUGUCUUGUGCUGUCAGGGGCGGAAUGAGAGCAGAAUGUUGAUGCCCAGUGCCCUGUUUGGUCACCAUCGCUGCGUCCUCUGUUUCCCCCCAUGAGCAGGGCAGGGAGGAUUGGCUGGUCAGUCUGGGAGGCAGUGGAGGGAGGGAAGGAGGAGGGUGGGAGGGCUUAUAGAAUAUAACGGUGAAAUUCUGUUUGGCUGUGAGGACAGUUCCUCUGUCAUUCAGAAAACUCUCAGUUAUAUCCUUGCUCGUUUCUUACGAGUCUGGUGAAGUGUGAUGUUCGUUAGUCUGUGGGUGUCACUGCCAUCACGGGGCUCAGAUCUUCUCCCACCUGAGAGUCCAGGCUCAGGUGGUCAAGGGCAUCACCAAGGUGAUUCAAUGCCAACACCUAUAGGUUCUAGCCAGUGGCAGCAGGCAGAUGGGUUCAACUGGGUGUUGCACAUUCUCUAGGCUCAUGCAGUGGGCUACAUCCUACUGCAAGGAAAUUGAAGGGAACCCUCCCUGGGCUGGUGGUAAGAUCUGGGCCAUAGGCUGCCCUGACCUUCAGAUGCCCUCUGUGGGAGACCACCAGUGGCAUGCUGCUUCUUGUUCCCCUCAUCCUCCUAUUCUCCUGGUUCAUCUUCGCUGGCAUCAUGCUCCAGCCGUGCCUGAGUCUCCAUCCCACUCCCCCUCACCUGCAGUUGCCCUUGCCCUCUGUCACCUGUUCCUGCUUCAUCUCUGCUUCCCAUGCUCAGCAUCACCUGCAGGUGCAUCUCCCCACCAUCCCCCGAGCCCUUUCCCCCAGGCCCUGACUUCUCACUGCCCUUGGCCUUGGGAUCCCCUCAAGUGACCUUGGAGCUGGGGGAAGACCUGAUCCUACCACGCCGUAGGAAGAGGCAUCUCUCUUUCCACUGUCCAAGGGUGUGUUCCUGAAGCCCCAAAUGGGACUUUGGGAGGCAUUUCCUACUAAAUCUAUUACAAAUCCAUUGUAGAUGAUUUCUUAUUAUCAUUUAGUACUUUAAAAAUGUGCCUCAGUCAAUUCAACAUCAUGGGUAACAUUUCCAUGAGAAAAAAAAAUGCUUGGAUCUAAACCACUGAUUCAUUGAAGUUGUAGACACUGCUGUUUCUUAAGUCAGGAAGGAGUCUCCUGUGGUAAGGAUUGGAGCAUUUUUGAAACCAAUCACUAUGGCUUUGAUGACUAAGAACUUCCCCCCAGCACUUUCCACGUACUAAACUCCCAGUAACUUGGUAUUAAUGACAGUGACUUGUUACAUUUCCAAAUGCUAUCAAAGCUAGGGAUCUGAAUGCAUGCCAGGUGGUACCCUGGGGCCAGGUGCCCAGUGGCCUUGCAGUGACAAGGGACUAGAUUUAGAAUCAGGAGACUUAGGUCCUGUCACUUACAAGUUCUGGAAAAAGUCUGCACUUCUGCUGGCAUCCAUUUCUACUUUCUCUGUUAUGGGAACCAUCCCUCCUACUACACAAAAUUGAUAGGUGUGAAAAGUGACUCAAUAUAUGAAAAGCAUUUUCAUUUUGUUAUACAAGGUCUUUUUUAAAAUUACUAUUAUGAAUCUCUCAAAAAUAACCAUUUUAAAUUACCUAUAAUCCAGUCCACCCAGAGAAGCAUUUUGAUCCGGAGUUUUUCCCCAUUAAAAUGUAUGCAUGUAAAUGUAUCCUUUAAAAUGAGCUCCUAUUAUAUACAUUAUGGUUAAUAUCUCUCUUUUUAACUCUAUCCGGUGAAGUUAGUGAACAGUGAUCUCCUGGUUGUGAAAUAUUCCACUGUAGUUCUUUGCCAUAGUGUAUUGAAAUAAUAACUUAGCGAGUUAUUGAGGCUAUUUCUAGUUUUACUGUUGUGAAGCAGUGCUCCAGUAGGCAUUCUUAUUUGCAUACCUUUAUAUACCUGCCUUAUUAUGUUAAAGUCAUUUAAUACAUCUUUCUUUCAUAAAGAGUGUAGAGUUCCUUAUCCAAACUAUUAUAGCCAAAUCAGUUUUAUGAUGCAUAUUUUAUAAAAGUAAUAAAGUUUAGAAACUGUAUAGUAAAAAUAUUCCCAGUAAGUUUUGCAUUAGGAGGGGAGGGUAUUUAACAGUUGCAUUCAGUGGGAUUAAACAGACCUUAAACAGCCCACAUCAGAUUUUGCUACAAAAUUAGCUUUCACUACAGAAUCUUUUUUUUUUUUUUCUAUUUUCAGAGCUUUUUGGACUUUUGGAAUUGCAGAAAAGGGACUACCAUGGCACUGGCGAAUUUACACUUCUUUCUAGUGAAGUUGGAUUUUUUCAUGAUUUUUUCGCCUUUUAUGGUAUUCCUUUUGUAAAGGGUAUGCUCUUUGUUUUUAAUUGGGUGAAUAAUAUUUCAUUAUUAGGCUUGACCUUUUUUUUUGCUCCUUAAGAGCUUUUCACAUAUUUGUCGAAUAUUUCACCCCAUAUUUUACAGUCAUAUCUUGCAUUUUUGUCAUUUGUUUUAUACUGUGUUAAUGUUUCACACAUAUAAGCUUAAGGUAAAGUAGGAGAGAAAUGUGAUCCUUUAUGGCACUUGCCGGUGGUAUGUUUGAGAAAACUUUCCUAAUU
RNAcentral lists this long non-coding RNA (6191 nucleotides) under Sus scrofa (pig). Its description in RNAcentral is "lncRNA (ENSSSCG00030007805.1)". Lineage: Eukaryota; Metazoa; Chordata; Mammalia; Artiodactyla; Suidae. The record is from RNAcentral.